AGGAAGGCUCUUGGGUUGUAAACCUCUUUUCUCAGGGAAGAAGCUCUGACGGUACCUGAGGAAUCAGCCUCGGCUAACUCCGUGCCAGCAGCCGCGGUAAUACGGAGGAGGCAAGCGUUAUCCGGAAUUAUUGGGCGUAAAGCGUCCGCAGGUGGCGAUUCAAGUCUGCUGUCAAAGCACGGGGCUUAACUCCGUUAAGGCAGUGGAAACUGAAUAGCUAGAGUGCCGUAGGGGUAGAGGGAAUUCCCGGUGUAGCGGUGAAAUGCGUAGAGAUCGGGAAGAACAUCGGUGGCGAAAGCGCUCUACUGGACGGCAACUGACACUCAGGGACGAAAGCUAGGGGAGCGAAUGGGAUUAGAUACCCCAGUAGUC
This 372-nucleotide ribosomal RNA is filed under the name uncultured cyanobacterium. RNAcentral describes it as "bacterial SSU rRNA". It matches the Rfam family "Bacterial small subunit ribosomal RNA", at positions 408 to 795 of the family's 1533-position model. The record is from RNAcentral. Lineage: Bacteria; Bacillati; Cyanobacteriota.